This 301-nucleotide ribosomal RNA is filed under the name uncultured bacterium. RNAcentral's name for it is "partial 16S ribosomal RNA". It matches the Rfam family "Bacterial small subunit ribosomal RNA", at positions 509 to 807 of the family's 1533-position model. The record is from RNAcentral.
CAGCCGCCGCGGGAAUACGUAGGUGGCAAGCGUUGUCCGGAAUUAUUGGGCGUAAAGGGCUCGCAGGCGGUUUCUUAAGUCUGAUGUGAAAGCCCCCGGCUCAACCGGGGAGGGUCAAUGGAAACUGGGAAACUUGAGUGCAGAAGAGGAGAGUGGAAUUCCACGUGUAGCGGUGAAAUGCGUAGAGAUGUGGAGGAACACCAGUGGCGAAGGCGACUCUCUGGUCUGUAACUGACGCUGAGGAGCGAAUGCGUGGGGAGCGAACAGGAUUAGAUACCCCGGUAGUCCCUGUCUCUUAUAC